CUUCUCUCGAAUUAGCAGAGCUUUCACCAGGCCCUUCGCAGCCUGUUCGUAAUCAUCAACUGUGACCUGAAAAGAGAAGCUGUAUAAAUACUGAUGGAAGAGAAACAGGAGCAUCUAUUAAAAGAAAACAAUGGCUACUGAACAAACCUCUUAACUGUCUCCACAGAAUGCUGUUCUGCCAACUCCUUCUCCAGUUCCCUCUCUUUAGCCUCUUUCUGCCCAAUAGGACAAUCUUCAGGCACAGUGAAUAGUGACAAGGCAUCUUUGCUGUCUUCUUCUUGGAGAACUUUAGCAAAUACCUUCUCUGCUAGAAGCCGUACCUGCUCAUCAACCUCAGAAAUGUUCAGCUUUGGAAAUUGCCUAGGCAUCUCUGCUAAUAAGAAAAAACAAGCCAGUUCACAGAAUUGUAACUAAAAGUUGAAUAAAACAAUUAUAUUUCAGGGCAUUUCUACUGAAACUAAAAUAAGAGUUUAGAAUGAGAGAAAAAGUGUGCAUGCAUACAAUUUACAGCACACUAGCUAUGAAGCACACUACAGGACACUAGCUUAACAGUAGUCAAUAGUACAUAAGGCAACAACCAAUCUGUCAUAAGAAUCAAGGGAAUCCUUUGAGUAUGUGUGUUGUGGAGCUCAGUUUAAUUUGUGAAUUAGGACUUUUAUUUAAACUCAGAGGAUAAAUUUUGUUACUUCCAUCAGAAAGUAACACUUAAGGUACAAAUUGAUUUAGGCACAAAAAUGCCACUGCCUUAAGGCUGAUUGAAGAGAAUGAGACUGAAUGAAAGGCCAUUCUCUGUGCCAGAUGAUCAUAUGGUACAGGGUAAGAUGAGAUUUCCAUUGCUGAGUAAUGCUGCUUGGGCUGAAGGAUACUCUUGUAUUUAUCUUCUGUGUGAAGAUAUAGAGAAGGCAAGUAUGAUUAAUAAGGAAUUUCACUUGCACGAAUCUUUGUGAUUCACAACCUUGUGUCACAGGUCAGGGCAACUGCAUCUGUAUUUCCCCACAGUGGUCUGGCAAGGGCACUCACUCUCAAGCUUCCAGAGCCCUAGCCAUUGCUUUUCUUGGGCUGAUACCCUGGUCAGAAGGGAGUGAGAGACAGGUAUUUCCAGGCUGCACAGUUCCCUGACUCUACUGAGACAGGCUGCCAAGCACACCUGCUUGCUUUCACUUCAGAGACUGAUAACAGAAAGUUUGUCAACAGGGAUAAGUGACCACACCAUUCUUUUUAUGCAAAUCUAUUU
Molecule: non-coding RNA, 1234 nt
Organism: Chrysemys picta bellii (western painted turtle)
Lineage: Eukaryota; Metazoa; Chordata; Testudines; Emydidae
Source: RefSeq, a predicted model, not a curated record